Molecule: long non-coding RNA, 509 nt
Filed under: Medicago truncatula (barrel medic)
Lineage: Eukaryota; Viridiplantae; Streptophyta; Magnoliopsida; Fabales; Fabaceae
Description: long non-coding RNA (MTRU_LNC004521)
Source: RNAcentral
UUGAUUGAUGAUAAAAAUGUGUUAAAGGUUGGUGGUGGAGUAGGUAAAAGGGUAAGAGGAGAAGUUCUCAAAAGAAUCAAUAAAAGGGUGGUGGUGGUGGUGAUGCAUAUGAGAUUCCAAAGACAGGUGGUAUAGGCCCUUCAUAUACAGGUGGUGGUGGCGGCGAUGAAUAUACCGGUGGUGGAGGUGAGGGAUAUGCAUAUACUGGUGAUGGUGGGGGUGAGGUGUAUACCGGUGGUGGCGGUGAGGGAUAGGCAUAUACUGGUGAUGGUGGUGGUGAUGGGGAUGGUGGUGGGUGAUAAGGUGUUUGAUGUGGCGCUGGCGAUGAUGGUGGUGGAGGUUCUACACAAGGUGGCGGUGGAGGUGGUGGAGGUUCUACACAAGGUGGUGGAGAUGGCGGUGGUGGUGAAUAGACUGGUGGUGGAGGUGAGUGUACUGGAGGAGGUGGUGGGGGUGAUAAAUAUGGAUAUACGGGUGGAGGAGGUGAGUGAGGUGGUGGUGGUGGCGAA